AACCAAUAUUGUUGAUGGACAACUCACGAUUAUUGUUCGUGAAAAAGCCAUUCCUCUGUUCUACUUAGAGCACUGGUUG
This 79-nucleotide transfer RNA is filed under the name Pseudoalteromonas holothuriae. Its description in RNAcentral is "Pseudoalteromonas sp. CIP111854 tRNA-Asn". The record is from RNAcentral. Lineage: Bacteria; Pseudomonadati; Pseudomonadota; Gammaproteobacteria; Alteromonadales; Pseudoalteromonadaceae.